AAGUCGUAACAAGGUUUCCGUAGGUGAACCUGCGGAAGGAUCAGCAGUAAAUCUAUCAUUAUAAUCAAUGAUUUUCUCUCUACCCUGUGAUAAGAAUUAUGUGGUAUAAACAUAAUUUUUUGUAAAGGAUUUAAUCCCAUAAUUUCACUUGGUGAUAUUAUUGGUAUAACUUUAGUGUGAAAUUACUACCUAAAACCUUACAGGAACCUCCCAUCCAGUAUUGGUUGUCAAGUAGUUAAUGGAUUACUUGAGAUUAUCCAUAAUUUUACUGGUAAAUUUGGGUUAACUUUUACAGUUAAAAACCCUAUUAUCCAAAGUUUAUUGGUCAUUUAUUAUACUUAACUGUAUAAUUAAUUAAAAAAUACAACUUUCAACAAUGGAUCUCUUGGUUCUC
Molecule: unclassified non-coding RNA, 394 nt
Filed under: fungal sp.
Lineage: Eukaryota; Fungi
Description: partial internal transcribed spacer region
Rfam family: Eukaryotic small subunit ribosomal RNA (bases 1-46)
Source: RNAcentral